CCUACGGGCGGCUGCAGUAAGGAAUAUUGGACAAUGGGCGCAAGCCUGAUCCAGCCAUGCCGCGUGCAGGAUGACGGCCCUAUGGGUUGUAAACUGCUUUUAUACGGGAAAAAACCCCUCUACGUGUAGAGGGCUGAUGGUACCGUAAGAAUAAGGAUCGGCUAACUCCGUGCCAGCAGCCGCGGUAAUACGGAGGAUCCGGGCGUUUUCCGGAGUUAUUGUGUUUAAAGGGUGUUGUGGCGCAGUGGUAAAAUCCUGCAGCUUAACUGGAGAACUGCCAUUGAUACUGCAAGUCUUGAGUACAUAUGAUGUGGGCGGAAUGUGUAGUGUAGCGGUGAAAUGCUUAGAUAUUACACAGAACACCAAUUGCGAAGGCAGCUCACAAAACUGUAACUGACGCUGAGGCACGAAAGCGUGGGGAGUGAACAGGAUUAGAUACCCCGGUAGUC
This 449-nucleotide ribosomal RNA is filed under the name uncultured bacterium. Its description in RNAcentral is "partial 16S ribosomal RNA". It matches the Rfam family "Bacterial small subunit ribosomal RNA", at positions 338 to 795 of the family's 1533-position model. The record is from RNAcentral.